Long non-coding RNA from Oreochromis niloticus (Nile tilapia), 813 nucleotides. RefSeq lists it as uncharacterized. The record is from RefSeq and is a predicted model, not a curated record. The transcript has 3 exons. Lineage: Eukaryota; Metazoa; Chordata; Actinopteri; Cichliformes; Cichlidae.
UGUCAUCAACUCACGUUGGUAGCUGGCACCAGUGUUUCAAGCUCUCUUUCUGAUCAACCCUGCUAACCUUGUUUUCUUGUGCCACAGUUCCUGGACUCACUUUGACUUGAAUCUCAAGCUUAAGCUUCUCUCUUGGACUCAUAAUACCUUACUCCCAUCUUGGAAAUUACUCUGUGCCUCACCUGCCUGCCCUUCUUGCCACCGCAAACCACCAGGAACCUCUGGAUCUCAGCUCACUCUGGAUUUACGUUACCCCUCCCUCAUCGCUUACUCUCUUAACCUGCAAGGAAGAAAAGUUAUACAAUAUAAUCACCAUCUACAGAGCUCCUCUCCACUACAUUGAUGGGGAGGAGGUAGAAAGGGUAGAAAGCUUUGAGUUCCUCGGAGUCUACAUCUUGGCCGACCUUACCUGUCCACAAAUGUCUCCCACCAGGAAGCUGCACACCCCCACCAAUCUCCUCCUCCUCUCUCUGGCUGUCUCUGAUUGCCUGAAAAGUUACUAACAGAGAAGUAACACCCACAAGUAAAGAACAGAAACCCAUGUCACUCCAAGAUGGGGAAGAAAAGACUGUAAUAACUCUACUGACGGACUUCAUCUCUGAAAUAUUUUGACUGAUGCAACUGUUAUUCAUGUCGAUGGCAACCUUAGUAUAUGUAUUAGACUGCUAGUAGCAUUAUAGGAACUAUAUUUUAGUUUCAGAGUUUCUCCUUUAUCUUCAGUAUGUUACUCCAUUUCAUACAAAGGAGACAUGUCAAUGGAAACAGCACUCUUGUCAUGCAUGUACACAAAUAGACAGUGUGCACACAUUGCUC